This 317-nucleotide ribosomal RNA is filed under the name uncultured soil bacterium. RNAcentral's name for it is "bacterial SSU rRNA". It matches the Rfam family "Bacterial small subunit ribosomal RNA", at positions 26 to 372 of the family's 1533-position model. The record is from RNAcentral.
AGAGCGAACGCUGGCGGCAGGCCUAACACAUGCAAGUCGAACGGACCCUUCGGGGUUAGUGGCGGACGGGUGAGUAACACGUGGGGACGUGCCUUUUGGUUCGGAAUAGCUCCUGGAAACGGGUGGUAAUGCCGAAUGUGCCCUUCGGGGGAAAGAUUUAUCGCCAUUAGAGCGGCCCGCGUCUGAUUAGCUAGUUGGUAAGGUAAUGGCUUACCAAGGCGACGAUCAGUAGCUGGUCUGAGAGGAUGACCAGCCACAUUGGGACUGAGACACGGCCCAAAACUCCUACGGGAGGCAGCAGUGGGGAAUAUUGCAAC